AAAUUGAAGAGUUUGAUCAUGGCUCAGAUUGAACGCUGGCGGCAGGCCUAACACAUGCAAGUCGAGCGGAAACGAGUUAUCU
This 82-nucleotide ribosomal RNA is filed under the name Vibrio alginolyticus. RNAcentral describes it as "partial 16S ribosomal RNA". It matches the Rfam family "Bacterial small subunit ribosomal RNA", at positions 1 to 82 of the family's 1533-position model. The record is from RNAcentral. RNAcentral also lists the same sequence under 6 other names. Lineage: Bacteria; Pseudomonadati; Pseudomonadota; Gammaproteobacteria; Vibrionales; Vibrionaceae.